AGAGGCUGCCUGCAGAGCUAUAGUAGCUUUGUCCCAUCCAUGAGCUACUCAAUGUUCCUUGAAUUACAGGUCCUAGCCAAUCCCACCAAGAAGAAAUUCUUCCAUACAGCAGUGGUGAUGCAGUGUAACUCAACUUCUUUGUUGUGGCGUCUUUCAACUGUAUCUAUCCCAAAGAGGAAGGAUGGCUAAGCUGACCUUUCCAUUCACCCUGGCACAAAGCUUCAUGGUUUAUCCUGCCAGGGCAAAAAGGCUUGAAGAAAGGAAGCUUCUGUGAAAGCAAUUGUCUCCAGCCCAGAUCUAUGUUCAAGAGCACCCUUGAGAUGAGACAAGCACAGGCUAUCAAUGAUCGCGGACGGCUUAUUAACAAAGCACCAGAGGAUAUGCCAGCAAUGCACCAAUCGUGGUGGAGAACAUGCCCACCUUCUAGGUAAGACAUUUGUCCAAGAGUCCUGUUGCCUUUUGCUACAGAAACUUCACCUACAGAUUGUCAGCAGCAGCAACAGCACAGAGUGAAAGAGAGAAU
Mauremys reevesii (Reeves's turtle) is the source of this 523-nucleotide long non-coding RNA. RefSeq lists it as uncharacterized. The record is from RefSeq and is a predicted model, not a curated record. The transcript has 3 exons. Lineage: Eukaryota; Metazoa; Chordata; Testudines; Geoemydidae.